This 66-nucleotide transfer RNA is filed under the name Inoviridae sp. RNAcentral describes it as "tRNA-Val". It matches the Rfam family "tRNA", at positions 11 to 71 of the family's 71-position model. Rfam says of the family: Transfer RNA (tRNA) molecules are approximately 80 nucleotides in length. Their secondary structure includes four short double-helical elements and three loops (D, anti-codon, and T loops). Lineage: Floreoviria; Loebvirae; Hofneiviricota; Faserviricetes; Tubulavirales; Inoviridae. The record is from RNAcentral.
AUUAACGAGGACAGCAUCUGCCUUACAAGCAGGGGGUCGGGGGUUCGAAUCCCUCAUCACCCACCA